This 109-nucleotide non-coding RNA is filed under the name unclassified sequences. RNAcentral's name for it is "drum RNA". It matches the Rfam family "drum RNA". From Rfam's summary of the family: Firmicutes, Bacteroidetes (1 example), Proteobacteria (2 examples), Spirochaetes (2 examples). Terminator (Clostridia) The record is from Rfam by way of RNAcentral.
AGGCGCAAAAGCGGUUUUAUUGUGUUCAGAAGCAGUAUGCUGCCAGCCUCUGAAGGGUUUUCCGUAGACCUCAUCUGAACUAGGCGAAAGCCGAAAGAAAACGGAGAAA